Scylla paramamosain (green mud crab) is the source of this 1542-nucleotide RNA transcript. RefSeq lists it as uncharacterized. The transcript has 7 exons. NCBI's taxonomy places the organism in Eukaryota, Metazoa, Arthropoda, Malacostraca, Decapoda, Portunidae. The record is from RefSeq and is a predicted model, not a curated record.
AAACGCUUGCUGUCUUUUAUUAUCUUGAGUAUAAAAUGGUUAUAUGACAAUCUCUCUCUCUCUCUCUCUCUCUCUCUCUCUCUCUCUCUCUCUCUCUCUCUCUCUCUCUCUCUCUCUCUCUCUCUCUCUCUCUCUCUCUCUCUCUCUCUCUCUCUCUCUCAGCUUUGGAUUAGUAACCCCGUUGACAGAAGUGACACCCGCGUUUUCUCUUCUCAGAUGUAAACAAAGCGGUAGAUUCCUUCCAGCUGGUGAUAAAACUUCCUCUCGCUCUCCCUCACUCUCCCCACGUCACGGAAGUAGUGAUAUAAAGCACACGAGGAGGAAAGCAAUGGCAACACUCCGAUCCGGCAAGCAGGUUGGCGGCAGCGAUGGCGGUGGCAGCGGCAGCGGUGGUGAGGUGGACGGCAGGGACAGAGGGGCAGUACAGGCUGCGGACAUCAAAGAGAAGAGGAACGCGCGGACAAGCAAGGUGGUAUUCAGCAGUCUGAUCCUGGACCUGCUCGGCUUCACAGUGGUGGUGCCUCUGUCUUCUGCUCUCCUCGUCUGUUACUCCAAGCACGACUCCAGCGGCUUGUAUUCCUCUCUGCUCUCCUGUGUUACUUAUUACCAGCAUAUCAUCAGCGUUCCUGCGAGGUUCCACUCUGUCUUGUUUUGGUGGCACUGAUUGGUGUUACAUUCAGCAUAGGCUUCACCGUCGGGCACACUGUGGGGGCUGCGUUUUCCCGCUGGGGAAGUACUGGGUGGUUCGCGGCCUCGGCUGUCUACGCACGCACUCUCACUGUGGCUAACAUAAUAUUCUUUGCUGUCUUCUUCCAGGAAUCGCUGCCUGAGGGCAGAAGGAGGAGGGACAUCGGUGCCAGUUUGACCGAGGCUUGGGAGGUGAUCAAUCCUAGGGCUCUGUUCUCCGUCAGCUGUGUCAAGGGCCUGGGCAGAGAAGCCUGGAGUUAACGCUGAUCUUCGCGACCCACCACAAGCAUAGUUAUGACUCGUUGGCGCAGGACCGCAAGUUUUCCUUCCUGGGCCUGGUCAUGGCAAUUACACAGAGAGGGUUUAUGCGAAGUGUUAAGACUGGAACUGAAAAAGCAACUGCCAAUUAGUCGAGGUACUGCACCAUCCUACGUGUACCGGCAGCUUAGCAAACUGUACCGUCCCACUUCUUGUGAUCUCUAAGGUAACAGCUUUAAUCCUUGCAAAUAAGGAAUAAGAGAAAAGAGACACACCUGCCAUUUGUACUGUUAUGCUGUAGUGUUCUGUCAUUUUUUUCCUCUUUUAUCCUAGAACCAUUUUUGGUCAUUCAUGUUUCUAAAAAUUAUUAUACAAAAAUGUUGAGCUUAAUAUGUUUGGUGUAGUUUUUUGUAACAUGUGUUAUUAUUGUUAAUGUGUGUGGUUCCCCUCAGGAAGAAUGUUGCAGUAUUAGCAGUAAUGUUACAGCCAAUGGAAGUGUCUGUAUUGUGCUUUGGUGGGAGGUUAAUUUGAUGUAUUUUUAGAGUUGUGCAGGAUAUUAUAGCAAGCCCUCAAAAUAAAGAAAAUAACUAUAGAAAA